GAUCAUCUUUCCUCAAUAGGCUACCUAUACAAAUUAUGAAGUUCAUUCUGUUCUUGUUUUCUUUUGUGGCUGUUCCAAGAUGUAAGCAUGCCUUCUGGGGAAAAUUAAGACAGCUCUGUUUACUUAAUGUAUGAAUUAGAUGGUGUCUGAUGCUCAUUGCAAUCUUCUCUCUUUCCCAAGGGGCCUUCUCAGACAUUCAGCUUGCACUUUCUGGACCAGGAACAGUGAGACCUGGAGAGAAUCUGAGUUUAGUCUGUAAAGUGACAGGUUUCUCUAUUUCCACUUCUUCUUCUUAUGCUUGGCACUGGAUCCGUCAGCCUCGUGGGAAAGGUCUAGAAUGGAUUGCAGCAAUAAAUCACAACUCAGGGGGCAAAUUCUAUGCCCCUUCUCUGCAAAGCCGAACAACCAUUUCUUCAGAUGCCUCCAAGAACGAGUUCUCUCUCCAGCUGACCUCCCUGACAGCUGCCGACUCCGCUGUGUAUUUCUGUGCCCGA
Non-coding RNA from Podarcis lilfordi (Lilford's wall lizard), 494 nucleotides. NCBI's taxonomy places the organism in Eukaryota, Metazoa, Chordata, Lepidosauria, Squamata, Lacertidae. The record is from the annotation of a GenBank genome assembly.